Molecule: ribosomal RNA, 481 nt
Filed under: uncultured bacterium
Lineage: Bacteria
Description: partial 16S ribosomal RNA
Rfam family: Bacterial small subunit ribosomal RNA
Source: RNAcentral
GAUGAACGCUGGCGGCGUGCUUAACACAUGCAAGUCGAACGAAGCACUUUAUUUGAUUUCCUUCGGGACUGAUUAUUUUGUGACUGAGUGGCGGACGGGUGAGUAACGCGUGGGUAACCUGCCUUGUACAGGGGGAUAACAGUUGGAAACGGCUGCUAAUACCGCAUAAGCGCACAGCAUCGCAUGAUGCAGUGUGAAAAACUCCGGUGGUAUAAGAUGGACCCGCGUUGGAUUAGCUAGUUGGUGAGGUAACGGCCCACCAAGGCGACGAUCCAUAGCCGACCUGAGAGGGUGACCGGCCACAUUGGGACUGAGACACGGCCCAAACUCCUACGGAAGGCAGCAGUGGGGAAUAUUGCACAAUGGGCGAAAGCCUGAUGCAGCGACGCCGCGUGAGCGAAGAAGUAUUUCGGUAUGUAAAGCUCUAUCAGCAGGGAAGAUAAUGACGGUACCUGACUAAGAAGCACCGGCUAAAUACGUG